CAAGCCCGUCGUCCCGCAAGGCCCCGGCUCGGCGCCCGGAGUGAGCACUGCGCCGCCUCCGGGGGUCUCGGCCCCGCCCGCCAACCCCCCUACCACCGGCGCUCCGCCGGGCCCGGGUCCUACCCCGACUCCGCCGCCCGCAGUCCCCUCUACUGCCCCCGGACCGCCUCCCCCUUCCACGCCGAGCAGCGGAGUCUCAACAACGCCUCCACAGACCGGUGGCCCUCCGCCACCGCCCGCCGGGGGCGCCGGUCCAGGGCCUAAGCAAGGCCCAGGCCCUGGCGGUCCCAAAGGCGGCAAGAUGCCGGGUGGGCCUAAGCCUGGCGGUGGUCCGGGCAUGGGCGCUCCUGGUGGCCACCCGAAGCCACCUCACCGAGGUGGCGGGGAGCCCCGUGGGGGCCGGCAGCACCACGCGCCCUACCACCAGCAGCACCAUCAGGGCCCCCCUCCCGGCGGCCCGGGACCUCGCACAGAGGAAAAGAUAUCCGACUCGGAGGUGAGUAGGUUCUGGAGGAAGCUGUCCGUUUCUC
This 530-nucleotide long non-coding RNA is filed under the name Rattus norvegicus (Norway rat). Its description in RNAcentral is "long non-coding RNA NONRATT022633". The record is from RNAcentral. Lineage: Eukaryota; Metazoa; Chordata; Mammalia; Rodentia; Muridae.